This 300-nucleotide ribosomal RNA is filed under the name uncultured Lactobacillus sp. RNAcentral's name for it is "bacterial SSU rRNA". It matches the Rfam family "Bacterial small subunit ribosomal RNA", at positions 496 to 795 of the family's 1533-position model. The record is from RNAcentral. Lineage: Bacteria; Bacillati; Bacillota; Bacilli; Lactobacillales; Lactobacillaceae.
GCUAAGUGCGGGCGAGAGGCGGCGGUGAUAGGAGGGGUGCGAUGGUGUGCCGGAUUGAGUGGGCGUAAAGAGGUCGUAGGUGGUUUGUUGCGUCGGGAGUGAAAACACACAGCUGAGCUGGGUGCUUGCUUUCGAUACGGGCAGACUUGAGGGAUUUAGGGGAGAACGGAAUUCCUGGUGGAGCGGUGGAAUGCGCAGAUAUCAGGAGGAACACCGGUGGCGAAGGCGGUUCUCUGGACAUUUCCUGACGCUGAGGAGCGAAAGCGUGGGGAGCAAACAGGCUUAGAUACCCUUGUAGUC